This 1345-nucleotide long non-coding RNA is filed under the name Homo sapiens (human). Its description in RNAcentral is "HSALNT0192155". Lineage: Eukaryota; Metazoa; Chordata; Mammalia; Primates; Hominidae. The record is from RNAcentral.
CAGCUGUGAAGGGGAUGCAUUUGAAGGAGGAAACGCCGGAGGAAGUAAGAGUUUUUCAACACCGUUGGGACAAUUACUGACAUCUAGAAUACUCAAAGGAAUAUAUAACAAGACUAGGAGUACACCAGAAAAAAAAUUGAAAAUGGUAACUGCUUAUUUUGUCAUAGAAAUGGACAUGUUUAUUUUAAGAAAAUCAUUUUAAGCUAUCUUUUCUUUGUUUUUUAGACAAAGUCUCUGUCUGUCACCCAGGUUGGAGUGCAGUGGUGUGAUCAGUUCACUGUAACCUCAAACUCCUGGACUCAAGGGAUUCUCUUGCCUCUGCCUCCCCAGCAGCUGGGACUACAGACAUGUACCACCACACUUGGCUCAUUUAAAAAAUAAUUUGUAGAGAAGGGGGUCUCACUUUGUUGCCCAUGCUGGUAUCAGGCUACUACAUUUAUCGUGCUUAUUAAAGUUGCAGACUUCUUCCAGGAAUGGCAGACUGUGUAAUUGGGACCAGCUCUAUUGAUAAGAACAACUAGAAAAAUUGGGUAAUUUUUUAAACAAAUUUUAAUUCACUUUUGAAGUGAAUUAAUAAAGGCAAAAAAAAACAGUGAAGAUUUUAGAGUUUGGGAUCUAGGGAAAACUAAGCCCUCAGGCAUUUCGACCUGCUUUUUCCCUAGUUGUGGAAAAAGGAGAGGCUGGCUCAGCACAUUUGGCAACUUCACAAGGCUGAAGAGAUGGGAAUUGAGAUCAAGUCCUUUCAAGAUGCAGUAGCCUUAAUGAAUCUUCCUCACUUGGAGGUGAGACUCCUAAGAACUGUACCCUAGAAGAAAUAAUCCCUGGAUGACAGAUCUUCCCAGGGAUUAUCUGGAUUGAGGAAACACUGAGAGACUGCUGCUAGAUUGCACAGAGAAUAUGGAAGAAAUAAAACACUGAAGUUUUGGGCCUAAGCCAAUGGAAGAUUGAUGUUGCUAUUAAUUGAGAUGUCAAAGACUAAGUGAAGAUCAUGAACUCAGUUUUGUACACGUUAGACAAUAAGUGUCUGAAAGUUGAAAGAAUGUCUGGAGAAGAGGUGAAAAUUCUGAAGUCAUCAACAUUUAGAUGAUAUUUAAAGCCAGCAGAUGGAUGACAUUAUCAAUAGUGUCAAUAGAGAUAGAAAAAGACAAGGUUCAGGAUCCUGGCCCUGGAGUAAUCAAGCAUUAAGAUGCCAGGAAGAUGGCAAGUGAACGAUAAUAAAGACUGAAAAGUGGCCAAAAACAAAGGAGGAAAACCAGGCAAGUGGGCUAUCCUAAUGCCAAAUGAGUGCAUUUACGGACAGCCAGAGCCAGCUCAACCCACACUACUGGACAGUUAUCUCUCAGCC